GUUUCCCAUGAGAGGAAUGUACAUGUGAAGAGAGGUGAUGUCAUAUGAUUCAUGCUCAAUAGGAUUAUACUGAGGC
Mus musculus (house mouse) is the source of this 76-nucleotide non-coding RNA. The record is from Rfam. NCBI's taxonomy places the organism in Eukaryota, Metazoa, Chordata, Mammalia, Rodentia, Muridae.